Molecule: long non-coding RNA, 2075 nt
Organism: Scleropages formosus (Asian bonytongue)
Lineage: Eukaryota; Metazoa; Chordata; Actinopteri; Osteoglossiformes; Osteoglossidae
Source: Ensembl
CGGAAAGACUGUUGAGAGGUUUUGGCCAGGAGAAGGGAUGUAGGUGGGGCUAUCACUGUAGCUCACCUGGCCACAUGUUUAUACAUUAUCCAGCCCACAUGUGUAUCUCUGUCUCGCUGAAGAGCACAGCAGAGGAAACGUUCAACACUGCAUCACCAAGCAAAAGGGAUGAACUUAUACAGGAAUUUUGGGACCCUUCUUGAGACUUGGUUGACAGACACUAUUUCCGAAGAUAACUCUACGGAAGAGCCCCCUCAGGCACCUGAAACCCUUACUCCCAGUAAGAGUGCCAUGGGGACAGACUCCCAAAGGACUGGUAUGCUGCUGAAGUCUGAAUCGGAGGACUCCGGCUUGGAGGAAGCACCAAUCAGUCCUCAGGGCUCAGAGCAGAGCUUCUCGUUGGCCAGAGACAGUGACCUGGUGGACAGUGAAGGCCCACUAUCCCGAGCUGCCCCUUUACCCUCAUCCCAAGUUUCCUGUAACCAGUCACAGAACAUAGUGGAGCGGGCAUUGCAGAGGACCAGGCAGACCAGCAUCGGCAGCAGGAGGAAAGCCUUUUCCCUGUCUUUCACAAACUCUUGGACCUUGUCAUUCAACUUCAAUGAGAGAUCAGGAGAGCAGGAACUACCUGCUGUUCUAACCCCUCAACCGCUGAAAAAUCAGCAUUGCCAACAGGAACCUAAACCCAACAACGAGAGGUCUGAGGAUCAGACCCAGAGACAAGCGUGGCAGUUGCAGCUUGAAGCAGCAACGAUCUCCAUCCCCCAGGAUGAGGUGAAACUCUCGGCUUCCCCGUCCCAUGGAUGGCCCUCCUUUGGGCCGACGUACCUGGAGCAGGUCUGUAGGCUCCUGGAGGAGAUCGCAAGGCUGCGGGCCAGGAACCAAGAACUGGAGAGAGAGAAAGAGAGGUUGCAAGAGCAACAGAGGAGCAAGGAUGUGACGUCCAGCCAGUAUCUCCAUAGUGGCAGCAAAACCGGCGGUCAAGAGCCAGCACUGAAGAGUCGUGGGUAUGAGUUCAAGCACUUUUCAUUGAAGAGCAAACCAUCCUCUGAUAAAGUCCUGCGACGCUCCAUCUCCGACUCAAAUCUCAGCGAUUGCGGCAUUGGGAACCUGAUGAAGCAGCAGCAGUCUGAGAGCGUUGGGAACCUGAGCAUGUUUUCAGAGGUGGACAAGAUGAGCCAGACCACAGCCCAGAAGGAGAAGGAAACUCACAAGACCAGCAGCCUAAAGAGGACUAUAUGGAAAAAAAAGGACAAGCAAAACAAGGAGUUGGACAGUCAACAAACAUCACCUUGCGAAGAACAAAAAUCCAGCCAACAUCUUGGACUGCUGUUCAAGAAGAUGUCCUUGAAAAAGCCCUAAAGGCUGUGGUGGAACCAUUCCAUUAUGGCUCUAGAGAGGAGGUGUUGAGGACAUCCCUGUCACCAUGCUAUAGCCUUUACUCAUUUGGCUAAGGCUUUUCUCCACAGUGACUUACAGCGUUAAACUUCUGAAAAUUGUUCUCCCAUUUACACAGCUGGGUAAUUUUACUGGAUUAAGUCAGGGUAAGUACUUUUCUCAAGGGCGCUUCAGAAAGAGGUGCGAUUCAGACCUGGGUCCUUUGAGUUGAUGGACAACAGCUCUAUCCACGACUCUACCUCCUACCACACUCUACUACAGGAGGUCCCUUUGGCUCUAAAGAUCCUUCUCAUGAGCCAUUACUCAUGAGCUGCAGACUGGACGGAGCAGGGAGGUCCACAUAGCUACACGCCUGUGUCCAGCUCCCAGCUGAGACCAGAACCAUCUUACCAGUUUGAGGAGGACCUGGUAUCACUCUGAGUAAAGUGACUGAAACAAGAACGGUUGGUUACCCACACAGGUGCACCUUCUCAAUUUUUACAGAUUAACAACUUUUUCGUUAACUACACCCAGGUAUUAUGUAUAAAAGCUGCUCGGAGAGCCAUGUAUUAUUUUUCCUCAGUAUGAGCAGGAAGUUGAGGUGGAUUUGGAACUUCCAACUGAUGACUGAAUUAAUCUGUAUUUAUUCACUUAGCCAACACUUUUCUCCAAAGGAAAUAAAUGCCUAUAUAUUUACA